This is a small nuclear RNA of Sorex fumeus (smoky shrew), 107 nucleotides long. Lineage: Eukaryota; Metazoa; Chordata; Mammalia; Eulipotyphla; Soricidae. The record is from RefSeq and is a predicted model, not a curated record.
GUGCUCGCUUUGGCAGCACAUAUACUAAAACUGGAAUGGUACAGAGAAGAUUAGCAUGGCCCCUGGGCAAGGAUGUCAUGCAAAUUGGUGAAGCAUUCCACAAUUAA